UCAUCUUCACUUCAACCCAUUCAAUUUGAUACUUUCAUUUGAUCUUUUUUUAUAAUUGUUUGAUUAUUUGUCUCGCCCUUUAUUAUUGUAGCACUUCCUUCCUAACUGACCUUCUUCCAGAGCUUCCACAACAUUGCUAAAGAACCUGCUUUUGUAGGGUGAAGUAGUUUAGGAAAUAGUUCUGAACCACUUUUGUUGUUAUUUAGUUUUUCUCGCCUAGGUUGCUGAUAUCUGAGGGGACAAUAUGUAUAUAAAGCUGAGCGAUUCAAAAAAGAAUUCAACAGUAGACAGAGAAAUCAAAUCGCGAACAUGAAAUCUAUGUUGGUAGCCGUUGCUUUCUUUUGCCUCGUGAGUGUGGCUUUGUGCGGGUCCCAUGGUAUUUCCAUAGGAAUUCCUCUUCCCUUCAUCAAGCUUCGUUUUGUAGACAUUGCUCAGCUGUUUGGAGGACAUGGUGGAGGACAUGGAGGAGGACAUCAUGGAUUUGGACUUGAACUAGGAGGACAUGGUGGACAUGGAGGCUAUCAUGGAUACUAAAGCAUCGAUCGAGAGUUGAAUGAAUAAUGUCAACUAGAACAAUACCUCAGGCGAAGAGGAUAGAUGGGAAGAAUGUUUAUAUUUUGUACAUAAGCUAUCCACUUUCAUAAAAAAAAUCUUCAUUGUAAUAUAACGAAUCUCUUCACUCUUCUUGAAUAAAUGCCAUUUGUUUUUAGAAGAAAAA
This is a non-coding RNA of Parasteatoda tepidariorum (common house spider), 718 nucleotides long. NCBI's taxonomy places the organism in Eukaryota, Metazoa, Arthropoda, Arachnida, Araneae, Theridiidae. The record is from RefSeq and is a predicted model, not a curated record.